GGGCUCACUUUGCCAGCACAUAUAUUAAAAUUGGGGGAAAAAAAACAUAGAGAAGAUUAACAUGGCCCCUGUGCAAAGAUGACAUGCAAAUUUUGAAGUGUUCCAUACAUUC
Molecule: small nuclear RNA, 112 nt
Organism: Vombatus ursinus (common wombat)
Lineage: Eukaryota; Metazoa; Chordata; Mammalia; Diprotodontia; Vombatidae
Source: Ensembl